AACUGGCAGGGCUUGAGUCUCGUAGAGGGGGGUAGAAUUCCAGGUGUAGCGGUGAAAUGCGUAGAGAUCUGGAGGAAUACCGGUGGCGAAGGCGGCCCCCUGGACGAAGACUGACGCUCAGGUGCGAAAGCGUGGGGGAGCAAACAGGAUUAGAUACCCUGGUAGUCCACGCCCGUAAACGAUGUCGACUUGGAGGUUGUUCCCUUGAGGAGUGGCUUCCGGAGCUAACGCGUUAAGUCGACCGCCUGGGGAGUACGGCCGCAAGGUUAAAACUCAAAUGAAUUGACGGGGGCCCGCACAAGCGGUGGAGCAUGUGGUUUAAUUCGAUGCAACGCGAAGAACCUUACCUACUCUUGACAUCCACGGAAUUCGGCAGAGAUGCCUUAGUGCCUUCGGGAACCGUGAGACAGGUGCUGCAUGGCUGUCGUCAGCUCGUGUUGUGAAAUGUUGGGUUAAGUCCCGCAACGAGCGCAACCCUUAUCCUUUGUUGCCAGCGAUUCGGUCGGGAACUCAAAGGAGACUGCCGGUGAUAAACCGGAGGAAGGUGGGGAUGACGUCAAGUCAUCAUGGCCCUUACGAGUAGGGCUACACACGUGCUACAAUGGCGCAUACAAAGAGAAGCGACCUCGCGAGAGCAAGCGGACCUCAUAAAGUGCGUCGUAGUCCGGAUCGGAGUCUGCAACUCGACUCCGUGAAGUCGGAAUCGCUAGUAAUCGUGGAUCAGAAUGCCACGGUGAAUACGUUCCCGGGCCUUGUACACACCGCCCGUCACACCAUGGGAGUGGGUUGCAAAAGAAGUAGGUAGCUUAACCUUCGGAGGGCGCUACGACACA
RNAcentral lists this ribosomal RNA (833 nucleotides) under uncultured prokaryote. Its description in RNAcentral is "bacterial SSU rRNA". It matches the Rfam family "Bacterial small subunit ribosomal RNA", at positions 630 to 1463 of the family's 1533-position model. The record is from RNAcentral.